This 497-nucleotide ribosomal RNA is filed under the name uncultured bacterium. RNAcentral describes it as "partial 16S ribosomal RNA". It matches the Rfam family "Bacterial small subunit ribosomal RNA", at positions 29 to 507 of the family's 1533-position model. The record is from RNAcentral.
AGUGAACGCUGGCGGUAGGCCUAACACAUGCAAGUCGAACGGAAGCACAGUAAGCGUUCGCCUUUACGGUUGGCGGGGGGCGGGCGGGUAAGAAAUAGAUCGGAUACUACUAUUACUGGGGGAAUAUCGUGGGAAAAGUUCCGAUAAUACCGAAUAUAACCAACGGCAUAAAUCAGGGGUGCUUGGCACUUUGGCCGUUUCAUAGAGCUGAAGCCGGGUCGCCUUAGCUAGUUGGUAAGGGACCGGCUUGCCAAGGCGACGAUGCGGAGCCGACCUGAGGGGGUGAUCGGCCACACUGGAACUGAGACACGGUCCAGACUCCUACGGGAGGCAGCAGUAGGGAAUCUUCCGCAAUGGGCGAAAGCCUGACGGAGCAACGCCGCGUGAGUGAUGAAGGUCUUCGGAUCGUAAAACUCUGUUAUUAGGGAAGAACAAAUGUGUAAGUAACUAUGCACGUCUUGACGGUACCUAAUCAGAAAGCCACGGCUAACUACGUG